CAAAAAGACAAAAAAAAAAAAAAAAAAAAAGUCAGUGUGGCUGCAGCAGAGGGAGAGGCAGUCGGCCUGAGAAACUUGUUUGGAGAGGUGGUCAGGAGUCAGAUUACUGAAGCCACAGCUGGAAUUUGGGGUUUUCUCCUAAAAGCAGUAGGACACUAUCCCAGGUUUGUACGCAGGAAAGUGAUGGUGUGCGUGGAUGUAGGUAACGCAAAGAUCAUUCUGGCUUCUGUGCGACGUGUCAGUGGAGCUGGGGACAGAGGGAGAGCAGAAAUUCGGGGAAGCCAGGUACAGGCUGCUACCCUAGGGGGUGGGGCAUUUUGGAGUUGGCAGUGACAGGAUUGAGAAGGGGAACCGGCCAGAAACACUUCGGAGGAAAAGUCGAGUGGAGGCGGCGGUCUCUGGGACCAAAAAGCACAGGGUGGCCUGGGCAAAGAGACAGACAGAGGGACAUUGAGAUCACAUGACUUGAGGGAGAGAACUCAGGGAGCAAAGAAACGGUCAAGGAGGUACUCAGAAGCUCUCUACCCGAGCCUCCCCCGCUUUCCUGAAAUCUCCGGCAGGGAAAGGGGAGGUAAAAGAAUUUGAUUGGGUCCCAGCCUAUCCAAUUGUCCAGCCUUCCCAGGAAGCACUUAAAGAAGUGACUGUUCUGAUGGAAAAGCCAAUAAAAGAGGAUAAAGUUGAAAAACCACCCCGAAGAGUACCACCUUUUUUGAGAAGGCAACUAGAAAAAGAUAGAUUUCUGGAUUAGGAAAAUGAAGCCAAGUGAAAUUAAGUGACUUGCCCAACAUUUUAAAGGGGCAGAGCCAACAGAAUCCAGCCUCCUGGGUCCCAUCCAGAGCUGUGUGCAGUACAGACUGCCAGAGCACCGCUAAGAUUCCUUUCCAGCAGUGUCCGUCUUCAUAAAAAAUGAAGACUUAUUUCAUAAGCAUAACUCAACUCUCAGAAAUGCCCCCUUACCAACAUCAUUCCAAGGAGUCAUAGACUAUGAAUUCAAAGUCAGAACUGUCUUCAUCACGGACGAGUUCUUCAGCUUCUAGCGGAUUUACUCCCAUAUGUGUCAGCUACAGAAACGAAGGGAGACAAAAACCCGUUAAGCCACAAGCCGUCAUUUACCACAUCCAAGCAUCUCUAUCGCUAAACAAGAGGCCAGAGGCUAAGUCCGUUUUCCGUAUCCUAACAUGUUGGCUAAAUUUCUUCUGAUAAAUUCCGAUUUUUCAAAGCUACCUUCCUUUUUUUUUUUUUUGCCUUUUUAGGGCUGCAUCUGUGGCAUAUGGAGGUUCCCAGGCUAGGGGUCCAAUCGGAGCUACAGCUGCCGGCCUACGCCACAGCCACAGCAACGCCAGAUCCAAACUGCGCCUGUGACUUACACCACGGCUCACGGCAACGCCGGAUCCUUAACCCGCUGAGCAAGGCCAGGGAUCGAACCUGCAACCUCAUGGUUCCUAGUCGGAUUUGUUUCCGCUGUGCCACGAUGGGAACUCCAAAAGCUGCCUUCUUUUUGGCAGAAAAUAUGUCUCACUUCAUUACCACUUCUAGUACGUACUUAGAGCUUCUGGUGAGAGAGUGAGAUGGUCCAGAUCAGUGGUUCUCAACUAGGGUGAUUUGACCCCCGGGGGUCUUUGGACAUUUUGGUUACCACAGCCAAGUCUGGAGACAUCUUUAUUAGUCUAAUAUUAGUCUAAUAAUUCUCUUAUCUCAGGCUCUCUUACAGCAAGUGUAUGGUAUUAAAUUUGCUCUUAUGAAACACUUAUUACAUUAUAAAAUGCCUAGUUAUCACAACUGGAGGGGGGGCAUGGAGGGAGGCAGUGUGACUGCCAUCGAGUGGGUAGAAGCCAGCGUGCUGCUCAACAUCCUACAAUGUACAGGACAGCCCCCCCCGCGACCAAGACACACUCAGGCCAAGAUGUCCUGAGGGCUGCCGAGGCUGAAAAACCCUGUCUAGCCCCUGUGAGGGGUGCAACAUAAGAACUAAGCUCCCGCGGGGAGUUUCUGAUCACAAGCAGUCCAUUUUGAAAGUAUUAGUAAAGCUGAAACUAUGCAAUCACACCCAGAUCAGCAGUUCCAAGACAGAACAGGGACAUCUGGCUGGCGUCCCACGUGCAUUUUCAGCCACCCUCCUGGAGACUGCUAUUCAGCUUGUGCCCCAGCAUUUCCAGAGAGCUGUGGCCUCGCGUCUGGGAGGGAAUUGUUCACCUUAAAACUGCCUUCCUGGGAAGAGCUGGCGGAAGUCUAAUAAUUCUCUUAUCUCAGGCUCUCUUACAGCAAGUGUAUGCUAUUAAAUUUGCUUUUUUGAAA
Molecule: non-coding RNA, 2295 nt
Organism: Sus scrofa (pig)
Lineage: Eukaryota; Metazoa; Chordata; Mammalia; Artiodactyla; Suidae
Source: RefSeq, a predicted model, not a curated record